This 497-nucleotide ribosomal RNA is filed under the name uncultured bacterium. RNAcentral's name for it is "partial 16S ribosomal RNA". It matches the Rfam family "Bacterial small subunit ribosomal RNA", at positions 28 to 507 of the family's 1533-position model. The record is from RNAcentral.
GAUGAACGCUGGCGGCGUGCCUAAUACAUGCCAGUCGAGCGAACAGAUGAGGAUCUUGCUCCUCUGACGUUAGCGGCGGACGGGUGAGUAACACGUGGAUAACCUACCUAUAAGACUGGGAUAACUUCGGGAAACCGGAGCUAAUACCGGAUAAUAUAUUGAACCGCAUGGUUCAAUAGUGAAAGACGGUUUUGCUGUCACUUAUAGAUGUAUCCGCGCCGCAUUAGCUAGUUGGUAAGGUAACGGCUUACCAAGGCAACGAUGCGUAGCCGACCUGAGAGGGUGAUCGGCCACACUGGAACUGAGACACGGUCCAGACUCCUACGGGAGGCAGCAGUAGGGAAUAUUCCGCAAUGGGCGAAAGCCUGACGGAGCAACGCCGCGUGAGUGAUGAAGGUCUUCGGAUCGUAAAACUCUGUUAUUAGGGAAGAACAAAUGUGUAAGUAAAUAUGCACGUCUUGACGGUACCUAAUCAGAAAGCCACGGCUAACUACGUG